Malus domestica (apple) is the source of this 2107-nucleotide non-coding RNA. Lineage: Eukaryota; Viridiplantae; Streptophyta; Magnoliopsida; Rosales; Rosaceae. The record is from RefSeq and is a predicted model, not a curated record.
CAUGCAUCGUAGCGGUUAGCCUACUUCUCGUCUCUCUCCCUUUCAAAAUCCAAACCAUUCCUUCGCAGCUAAGCUUUCAUCUGAUCGUUGACCGAAAAAAAAAACAGAAGCUUUCUUCUGAUUCUUUGUUAAUUCUUCCCUAUAAAAUCCCCAACGAUCUUACGAAUUCAAAACACAAACAUUCAAAAGAUGGCGAAUGAGAUAUGGAUCGUUCCAUUUUUUGGGCAGGGACAUCUCUUCCCGCUAGUGGAGCUCUGCAAACAAAUAGCCUCCCGAGACUUCAAAUCCGUUUUCGUUAUUUCUUCCAACUUCUCCUCUUCCAUCCCCUCUUCCCUCCGCCAGCACCCGCUUGUCCAAAUCGCCGAAAUCCCCGAAUCGAGCCCAUCGUCUGAUCCAUCAACGCCGCCUCAGCCAACUCCUCAGCCACUCCACCGCCACCACGAUCAGGACAACCAGAUAGCUAACGGUCUUGAGAAACUCCUUUCGACCCGAUGCCAGAGUUCGGAUUCUGCGCUGCCCGUAUGUGCCGUGCUUGACGUCAUGAUGGGCUGGACUGCCGAAGUUUUUAAGAAAUUUGAAAUUCCAACCGUAGCUUUCUUCACCUCUGGUGCUUGCUCUGCCGCCAUGGAGUAUGCCAUGUGGAAGGCUCGGCCCUUGGAUAUCAAAUCCGACGAGACCCGUUUGCUCCCCGGGUUACCCGAGGAAAUGGCUCUCACUCUAUCUGAUGUUAAACGACAGUCUCGCGGACCACCGCCACACGGUCAUGGUGGCGGCCCACCAACAGGGCCAGGCACAGGUUUUCCUCCGCCACCCGGUCAUGGUGGCGGCUCACAAACAGGGCCAGGAGCAGGUUUUCCUCCGCCACCGAGCCAAGGUGUAGGUGGCUUUCCUCCAUUUGGCCCAAAUGCAGGUAUGCCUCUGCCGGGCCAAGAUGCAGUUGGUUUUCCUCCAUUUGGAUCGGGGCACGGUAUGCCUCCACCCGACCCGCCUCUUAAUGGACCUGGCCCGGGAAGAAGGGGCCAUCCGCAGCCAGGAGGUAAACCCCGUGGACAGAAGAUGCUGACCGAUCUAUUGCGUUGAUGAUCAAUACGUGUGAUGAUCUGGAGCGUCCAUUCCUUAAGUACAUUGCGGAUCAAAUUGGAAAACCGGUCUGGGGAGUUGGCCCGCUUUUGCCCGAACAAUACUGGAAAUCGGCCGGUUCAAUUCUCCACGACCGCGAGUUCCGAAACAGCACCCGACGGUCAAACAUCACCGAAGACGAGGUGGUCGAGUGGCUAGACUCGAAGUCGUCCGGAUCAGUACUCUAUGUGUCAUUUGGCAGCACGGUAGCACCUACAGUGGAGGAGUACAAAGUACCGGCAGAGGCAUUGGAUAUCAUCCACCCAGCCCUUCAUAUGGGUGGUCCAAUCCGGUUCGGGUAGACCGCCGGGUCCUCCGCGGGGCGGUUCAGACAGACCGCAAGGUCUCUCGGGGCCGGUUCGGAAGGCGAAGAAGGAUACUAUCCACACGGAAUGGAGGCUCGAGUGGGGAAAAGAGGUUUGAUAAUACACGGAUGGGCCCCACAGCUGCUGAUCCUAAGCCAUCCAUCAACGGGUGGAUUUUUAUCACACUGUGGAUGGAAUUCAACAGUGGAGGCAAUCGGGCGUGGGGUCCCGAUCCUAGCGUGGCCAAUCAGAGGGGAUCCAACACCAUGAUGCCAAAUUUGGUGGCGAGCUUUCUGAAAGUAGGGUAUCAUAUCCCUAUUCCUCCUGACGAGAAAAUAUUAAUUAAGAAGGAAGAUAUAGUGAAGGGAAUCGAGAUGCUGAUGAGUGACGAAGGACAUGAAACGACGAGCUUUGGAGCUGAGUGAGAAAUUUGAGCAUGGAUUUCCAACAAGUUCGGUUGCUGCUUUGGAUGCUUUUAGAGAUUUUGUUGCCCAAAAGCCAAAAGCUGCUUCUUUGUGAUCAGCUUUUUUCUUGUUUGAUAGUUUGUUUGAUUUUUCACUUUUCUUCAGUGUAUCAAUGAUCAAUGUAUAAUGAUGUGUGUAAUUUUACUACACAUGUCACACUUUUUACUACAAUUUGGAAUGUUAUGUGUUUGUUUACAUCAGAUAUGAUCAACCUUGAAA